Long non-coding RNA from Mirounga angustirostris (Northern elephant seal), 2384 nucleotides. RefSeq lists it as uncharacterized. The transcript is spliced from 4 exons. The record is from RefSeq and is a predicted model, not a curated record. Lineage: Eukaryota; Metazoa; Chordata; Mammalia; Carnivora; Phocidae.
CAGCUGAUCAAACACACCAGGACAAGGUCAGUCCAGGGACCCACAGUCCCCUCCAGGGGAGAUUUCAUAGACCUGCCAUCAGGACGGUCUGAUAAAAAUGGGCAGGGGGUGGGGAAGGGGGCCCACGGGGCUGGCACAGGACCAAACAGCUUUUCAUUCCUUUUAAGGUUGAGACCUCUACACUCCACACAGGGUCCAGAGCAAAGCCAGCACGUGCAGAGGCCAUGGCUAGCCCUGCCUGUGAGCCCGGGGACCUGAGGUAAAAUAAGGAACAGGGUAGCCGUGCACACACGCAUGACGGGGUGAGCGAUGUCAGGCAGGAGCCAGUGUGGGUUUGGGAGCAUAGGAUUAUUAGAUUGUCACAGGGUGACUUAAGAUCCUCCUUCACUAAACUGUGACCCCUUCAAGGGCAAGUGCUGUGCGUCAUCCUGUUAACACACACACACAGUGAGCCGGGCACAUCAGGUUCUGAUUGCCCAGGUCUGUUGUCCCUGAAGUUCUGGAGUCUCUGAGGUCCUGUUGUGUGCCCAGUCCCGUGCUAGAUGCUGUAGAGGUUGGGUUGUGCUGGGCUGAGAUGGGUGUGGUUCCUGCUCCCAGGGACUGAUCAUCUUGUUGGCCAGGCAAAGAUUAUUUAUGAGAAAUAAGAACGAAAAACAUCCAUGCAGGUCCAGACCAAGACCUGAAGUACCUAUAAAUGCUGUGUUUCUUGCUCGCUUGCUCUUUCUUUCUUUUUUUUUUUUUUUUGGUGUCUUUUUCAUCGGGAUGGUUAAUAUUUUUUAGAAAUAGUCUCAUAAUAAGUCAUGUCUGUUAGGUGCUUAGUGUAUGUUGCACAUGGGCAGAGAUCCUUGUGUAGUUCUUCCUUCACCGGCACCGUGAUGCAGCUGCAGUUCUCCUGGGUUACAGACGAGGAGACCCACAGCAGGGAAGUCACGUGACGAGUGACAGAGCCAGGGAGCCGCGAUUUGAACACGAGCAGUCUGACUCCAGAGCUUGCUCUUAAACACCGUGCUGCAUCCCAGCAGUUCUUGCUUAAUACCUAGUCAGCUAGAAAAGAUCUAGUCAACGGUGGUUCCCAGUCCUUAGCAGCCGGGUCUGUCAUGCCUGGACUGUUGUCACAGGACCUAGCAAGGCUCCCUGUCUGCUCUGUCCUUGCCUUUCCCCUCCUGGCCUGAGAUGGCCAGUCAGACCUAAACCUCUGCUUCUAUCUGCUAGAGAUGUGGUAUCCUGGAGCAACAAGUCACGUCCUUUUGCUUUGGCUUCGGGACCAGAUGGUUUGUUCACCAGUCCUCAGUCCAGACUCUGCCCUGGAGAGCAGAAGGAGGGCCGCCGGAGCUGCCCAAGCCCCCGCAGGGCCAGCGGAGGCCCACAGAGCCUGGCGCGGGUGUGCGAGGGUGGGUCCUCCACGCACACAGCUCUGGAAAGCAUCUUGGCCUCUCUGACUUCCCCACCUUCCCCCAAUCCUGGCCUCCUAGAAGGAAAAUGUUUUCCAGACAGCAGCCACGUCAUUGGAGAGGAUCCGAUUAGAAGCCAAGAUGAAAUGCAGUGGUUCAGAGCCACCCUUUCGAGAGCAUUUUGAAUCAUUUACUCGCUUGACUCUGGCAGCAGUGCUCUGAGGCUAAAAGAACAUGAAUUAUUAUUUUGCCAAUGAAGAAAUUGAGGUUCCAGGAGGCGACAUCACUUGGUCACCCAGUAAGUCGGUAGCAGAACUGCAAUCAGAGCAGCUGGACCCAGCAUUAUAUCCACUUUGCAAGAAAAAGCACUACUGAGGCCUGGCCACCUUAGAAGCAGCAGCUCAGGAGGCCGUCGGGACACGCAGAGGCAGGAGCCCAGCAGCGGGGAGCCGGGGAAGACGCGGUCACACCAGGGAAGCAGAGAAGCCCGGGGUCACAUCAAGGUUUGUCUUAGGCUUUCCUGCCCCAGCUCUACAGGCAAAGUAUGAAGUGUAAACACAUUGCCCACGUUCCGGGUGAAUCUUUCCUAUGUAACGUGAGCUACUUCCUCCGUCGUGUUUGGGGGGCUGCCUCCCCUCUAGCCUGCGAGCAUGUUCCUGGGGAGGGGGCGGUGGUCAGAUCUCCAGUGGAGUGCCAGCACCACGUUCCCUCCGUGCCGGUUACAACUCGGGAAAACAGGUGCAGUGGGCACAUUACAGAUGGGAACACUGAGGCCCUAAGUGAAGAGGCAACAUGGGCCUCAUGCCAGCAAUCUGGCUCUUCCUAAGACCUCCCAGGGCUCCAUCCUCCAGCCUGGGGAGAAGGCAAAGUUUCUGUAUGCAAAGGUGAGGAAUGUGCCCCCCUCCAGUCCCCUGACAGUGGAGGGUGAGAAGGGACUGUGGGGUGGGCUUCUCUGCAGGAGUCUGGGCGAGACAGCCUGGGGCAACAAGACAU